This 633-nucleotide long non-coding RNA is filed under the name Neogobius melanostomus (round goby). RNAcentral describes it as "lncRNA (ENSNMLG00000002580.1)". Lineage: Eukaryota; Metazoa; Chordata; Actinopteri; Gobiiformes; Gobiidae. The record is from RNAcentral.
CUGAGGGGCAAGUAUCACUUCCUUGGUGGGAGCUCAAUCCUCCCAGGAAGUCGAUCCUGGGCCUACACUCUGACCGACGCCUGGGUUGAAGCCUUAGAAACUUCCCAAAGCGACAUUUUUGUAUUCACCCAAGCUCAGAGAAUGUUUGGAAAAUGUUUUAAUAUAAAGUAUGAAAUGGCCAUUGAAAACGGUGCCCUUGUGAUGAAGCAACCAGAACACUCAUUUUACCUGAAGCAUGAAUACAUGUUGACCGACUGCCCAGACUGUGUGACUCUGUAUGAAACAGCCAUCUCUGGGAACGUCACAUUCUACAGCCUGUUGUUCAGUAAAAGCAGGACUGUGCCUGAUUCAGCGCUGGAGAUGCUAAAGAAGCAAGCAGAGUGUCUGAAGAUGCCUUCAGUCAUCAUGUUGAACAAACAUUCUGAAGCGUGCCCGGACGACCCUGCACCCAUGGAUGGCACUGAGGCUUUUAGAUAUGUUAUGGAGGCAAAGACGUUUGGUGAUAUAAUUGACCUGCAUCAGCCCCUUGGAGGACCAAUCAGAUUCCAGGGGUGGACUGUGACCCUGGCCCACCUCAGACACGCCUCUACAGAGAUGAGCAGUGGGCACAAGGCACGGCAAAAGUACUAUUAG